AACGAACGCUGGCGGCAUGCCUAACACAUGCAAGUCGAACGAGACCUUCGGGUCUAGUGGCGCACGGGUGCGUAACGCGUGGGAACCUGCCCUUAGGUUCGGAAUAACUCCCCGAAAGGGGUGCUAAUACCGGAUAAUGUCUUCGGACCAAAGAUUUAUCGCCUUUGGAUGGGCCCGCGUUGGAUUAGCUAGUUGGUAGGGUAAAAGCCUACCAAGGCGACGAUCCAUAGCUGGUCUGAGAGGAUGAUCAGCCACACUGGGACUGAGACACGGCCCAGACUCCUACGGGAGGCAGCAGUGGGGAAUAUUGGACAGUGGGCGAAAGCCUGAUCCAGCAAUGCCGCGUGAGUGAUGAAGGCCUUAGGGUUGUAAAGCUCUUUUACCCGGGAUGAUAAUGACAGUACCGGGAGAAUAAGCCCCGGCUAACUCCGUG
This 433-nucleotide ribosomal RNA is filed under the name uncultured bacterium. RNAcentral describes it as "partial 16S ribosomal RNA". It matches the Rfam family "Bacterial small subunit ribosomal RNA", at positions 29 to 507 of the family's 1533-position model. The record is from RNAcentral.